UUGUACCUACGGGACGCAGCAGUGGGGGAUAUUGCACAAUGGGGGAAACCCUGAUGCAGCGACGCCGCGUGAGUGAAGAAGUAUUUCGGUACGUAAAGCUCUAUCAGCAGGGAAGAAUAAUGACGGUACCUGACUAAGAAGCCCCGGCUAACUACGUGCCAGCAGCCGCGGUAAUACGUAGGGGGCAAGCGUUAUCCGGAUUUACUGGGUGUAAAGGGAGAGUAGACGGAAGUGCAAGUCUGAAGUGAAAUGACGGGGCUCAACCCCGGAACUGCUUUGGAAACUGAACAGCUAGAGUGCAGGAG
This 305-nucleotide ribosomal RNA is filed under the name uncultured bacterium. Its description in RNAcentral is "bacterial SSU rRNA". It matches the Rfam family "Bacterial small subunit ribosomal RNA", at positions 334 to 654 of the family's 1533-position model. The record is from RNAcentral.